Molecule: ribosomal RNA, 587 nt
Filed under: uncultured bacterium
Lineage: Bacteria
Description: bacterial SSU rRNA
Rfam family: Bacterial small subunit ribosomal RNA
Source: RNAcentral
CCUACGGGAGGCAGCAGUGGGGAAUAUUGGACAAUGGGGGCAACCCUGAUCCAGCAACGCCGCGUGGGGGAUGAAGGUCUUCGGAUUGUAAACCCCUGUUAAGAGGGACGAAGGCUUCCGGGCGAACAGUCCGGAAGCUUGACGGUACCUCUAGAGGAAGCCCCGGCUAACUCUGUGCCAGCAGCCGCGGUAAUACGUAGGUGGCGAGCGUUGUCCGGAUUUACUGGGCGUAAAGAGCGCGCAGGCGGUCGUGCAAGUCGCGUGUGAAAGCCCCCGGCUCAACUGGGGAGAGUCACGCGAUACUGCUCGACUCGAAGGCGGGAGAGGGAAGCGGAAUUCCCGGUGUAGUGGUGAAAUGCGUAGAUAUCGGGAGGAACACCAGUGGCGAAGGCGGCUUCCUGGCCCGUUCUUGACGCUGAGGCGCGAAAGCUAGGGGAGCAAACGGGAUUAGAUACCCCGGUAGUCCUAGCCGUAAACGAUGGACACUAGGUGUUGGUGGUAUCAACCCCGCCAGUGCCGAAGCUAACGCAUUAAGUGUCCCGCCUGGGGAGUACGGCCGCAAGGCUAAAACUUAAAGGAAUUGACGG